UUUUCAUACAGAGCCAAAAUUUGAUGUGCUCAAAGAAAACUUUAAGUUAGAAAUGUUACUCUGGUUUUUAUGAAUUUUCUAGCAGUUGAGGGAAUGGGUUCUUGUAAAUACAGUUACUCCUAGUUUUCUUCCUGAAAACCAUAUGUAAAGUAUAUAUAUGGUCUUCAAAUGGAAGGUUUUUUUGUUUUUUUUAGCUGUGCCUCUGUGGGCUGAGUGACCGUGACCGCAAGGUGGCUCAUGGAGAACUGGUGGGUGUGCAACUGCUACUGGAAGAUGUUCUGAGUAGCUAUCAUGUGACCAUGGAGGCCCCCCAAAGACAGCAAGCCACACUGGGCAAAAAUACACAGAUCUCUGGAAACACCAAGUCAUGAAAGAAAACUUUUCAGUCUCAAGACCACAAAUAGUUGAAAAAUUUAUACAGAGAUUAAUGCAGAAUUAUCAGGAUGAUGGAGUAGAGAUCACUUUCAGGAAAGAUCACCUUGAGGCCUGCCUCCUUUCCCUGGGUUG
Molecule: small RNA, 507 nt
Filed under: Pan troglodytes (chimpanzee)
Lineage: Eukaryota; Metazoa; Chordata; Mammalia; Primates; Hominidae
Description: processed transcript
Source: RNAcentral